AAGUCGUAACAAGGUUUCCGUAGGUGAACCUGCGGAAGGAUCACUAGUGAUUGAAACGGGAAGCGUCUUAACUGACCUUCUCACCCUUCACAUCCACAUACGCCCUGUGAACUGUUUGGCUUCAACUCUCGAGUUGGGCUCUCCUAUCGAUAGAUUAGCAAUAGUCUAGCGAGAAGAGGGUUCGUCUCGAGAGCGGGAGUCAUCAUUUUUUAACAUACACAAAGUCUAAUGAAUGUAAACGUUUUUAUAUAAACAAAAUAAAAC
This 264-nucleotide unclassified non-coding RNA is filed under the name plant metagenome. RNAcentral describes it as "partial contains small subunit ribosomal RNA and internal transcribed spacer 1". The stretch from base 1 to 46 matches the Rfam family "Eukaryotic small subunit ribosomal RNA", at positions 1786 to 1831 of the family's 1831-position model. The record is from RNAcentral.